AUAUUACUCCCUCUGUCCAACAAAGGAUGUCUCAACUUUGAAUAAAUUUGAAUGCAUCUAUACAUGACUUAAUGUAUAGAUACAUUUAAAAUUUGACAAACUUGAGACAUCUUUUGUUGGACAUAGGAAUACAUA
This is a non-coding RNA of Brachypodium distachyon (stiff brome), 135 nucleotides long. The record is from Rfam. Lineage: Eukaryota; Viridiplantae; Streptophyta; Magnoliopsida; Poales; Poaceae.